UACGGAGGGUGCAAGCGUUAUCCGGAUUCACUGGGCUUAAAGGGUGCGUAGGCGGGCAGGUAAGUCAGAGGUGAAAUCUCCGGGCUUAACCCGGAAACUGCCUUUGAUACUAUCUGUCUUGAAUAUGGUGGAGGUAAGCGGAAUAUGUCAUGUAGCGGUGAAAUGCUUAGAGAUGACAUAGAACACCUAUUGCGAAGGCAGCUUACUGCGCCUAUAUUGACGCUGAGGCACGAAAGCGUGGGGAUCAAACAGG
RNAcentral lists this ribosomal RNA (253 nucleotides) under uncultured bacterium. Its description in RNAcentral is "partial 16S ribosomal RNA". It matches the Rfam family "Bacterial small subunit ribosomal RNA", at positions 524 to 776 of the family's 1533-position model. The record is from RNAcentral.